Molecule: ribosomal RNA, 119 nt
Organism: Loxodonta africana (African savanna elephant)
Lineage: Eukaryota; Metazoa; Chordata; Mammalia; Proboscidea; Elephantidae
Source: Ensembl
GUCUAUAGCCAUACUACCCUGAACGUGCCUGAUCUUGUCUGAUCUCGGAAGCCAUGCAGGGUCAGGCCUGGUUAGUACUUGGAUAGGAUACCACCUGGGAAUAAUGGGUGCUGUUGGCU